RNAcentral lists this long non-coding RNA (241 nucleotides) under Vigna radiata. RNAcentral describes it as "long non-coding RNA (VRAD_LNC008606)". The record is from RNAcentral. Lineage: Eukaryota; Viridiplantae; Streptophyta; Magnoliopsida; Fabales; Fabaceae.
AGAAGGUGAAGAAUCAUUGUGAUUCCACAGAAUGGUCUGAAGAUGUUGGCGACAAAAUUAACUUUAUAGUUGUCGUGUCUUUUCCAUUGGAUCCAUGUGAGAGGACACUGAAACCAAAGAUACCCCUCAGAGCUAUCUCAGACUACACAACACAACAUUGUAACUUAUGGUUUUGGCCCAUAAUUUCUUAACCACCACGUACGUUUUACCUUGUCCCUGUAAUAUUAAUCCUUGUGCAAUG